ACCUGCCUGUGAGGACGACAAACUGGCUCCUUCGAUGAAGAACGCAGCG
This 49-nucleotide ribosomal RNA is filed under the name uncultured eukaryote. RNAcentral describes it as "partial 5.8S ribosomal RNA". The record is from RNAcentral.